Molecule: ribosomal RNA, 289 nt
Filed under: uncultured bacterium
Lineage: Bacteria
Description: partial 16S ribosomal RNA
Rfam family: Bacterial small subunit ribosomal RNA
Source: RNAcentral
GUGGAUUAGAUACCCUGGUAGUCCACGCCCUAAACGAUGCGAACUGGAUGUUGGGUGCAAUUUGGCACUCAGUAUCGAAGCUAACGCGUUAAGUUCGCCGCCUGGGGAGUACGGUCGCAAGACUGAAACUCAAAGGAAUUGACGGGGGCCCGCACAAGCGGUGGAGUAUGUGGUUUAAUUCGAUGCAACGCGAAGAACCUUACCUGGCCUUGACAUGUCGCGAACUUUCCAGAGAUGGAUUGGUGCCUUCGGGAACGCGAACACAGGUGCUGCACGGCUGUCGACAACU